Carassius carassius (crucian carp) is the source of this 1302-nucleotide long non-coding RNA. RefSeq lists it as uncharacterized. NCBI's taxonomy places the organism in Eukaryota, Metazoa, Chordata, Actinopteri, Cypriniformes, Cyprinidae. The transcript is spliced from 7 exons. The record is from RefSeq and is a predicted model, not a curated record.
UCGGUUUUAAUUUAAAUUUUAUUUCCCGCCACUUAAAGUUCAAAUCUCAACGGUCGCCAUCGAGGAUAGUGAGGAGGACAGCGCGUUUCACCACAGGACGGAGAAGACGAUAAUUAGCGAUUAUUUCUGCAAAAAGUUGUCCAUUCUUAUGCCGAAUACAAUCCUGAACGAAAUUCUAACGCGUUUUAAGUAGUUUGGCGUCGAAUUCAACGUUUGGGAGAAUAUGAAGGAUAUCUGAAGAUUGUGCACCGCUCCGUCUUGUUGAGGAAGCGGCUCGUUGGGACGUCGAGGGGUCUGUUAAAAUUCCUGUGUGUAAUUGAGCGAUACAACAUAAGAGAUUCAUCUGGAGACCAUGGUAUAAGCACGCAAUACAACAUGAAGAUGAAGGUAAGAUAUGAGUUAAACAGUGUUUUGUUGUUACUGCUGCGCUACAAAACCAGUUUUUCCUCAUGUUUUUAACUUCAAAAGACACACAGUGAGUCGGGCGUAGCAGGAAAUAGAUACAACAAUAUGUGUGCCCUCACUCCUCGUUAGUAUAGUGAGGAAGCGGCUCGUUGUGACGUCGAGGGGUCUGUUAAAAAGGAAGCGGCUCGUUGUGACGUCGAGGGGUCUGUUAAAAUCCCUGUGUGUAAUUGAGCGAUACAACAUAAGAGAUUCAUCUGGAGACCAUGGUAUAAGCAUGCAAUACAACAUGAAGAUGAAGGUAAGAUAUGAGUUAAACAGUGUUUUGUUGUUACUGCAGCGCUACAAAACCAGUCUUUCCUCUUGUUUUUAACUUCAAAAGACACGCAGUGAGUCGGGCGUAGCACGAAAUAGAUACAACAAUAUGUAUGCCCUCACUCCUCGUUAGUAUAGUGAUUUAACAACAUCAAUGAUUUGAAAAUCUCCAGCAAAAUCAAAAUUUUUGCCCCGUGUGAGGCUCGAACUCACGACCUUCAGAUUAUGAGACUGACGCGCUGCCUACUGCGCCAACGAGGCCUGAAGUCCAUGUGUGCAAGACCUCCUCAUGUUCCUGCUGGGGCGCAUCUGUCCCACCAAACUGGUUUGCAUUUGCAGUCAGAUCUGCCCUUGAUUUUUUAAUAUCUGUUCUGUUCUUGAUAUGUUUGUAUUAACACCUGUUACAAUCACAAUAGACAAGUUUGUACAAAAAUGACUGAGAAACAAUAGAUCAGUAUAAACAAUGAGAUUCAACCUCGCUCAACAGAGGGAGCCAAAGCGAACAAUCACUUCAAACAUUGUAGAUUUAGGCCCAUGUUAAAAUGCCUAAAUUACAUUUAAAACCAUUAAUUUCACAUGCAUAUA